Acanthosepion pharaonis is the source of this 108-nucleotide non-coding RNA. The record is from the annotation of a GenBank genome assembly. NCBI's taxonomy places the organism in Eukaryota, Metazoa, Mollusca, Cephalopoda, Sepiida, Sepiidae.
UUACGGCCAUAUCACGGUGAAAAACCGGUUCUCAUACGAUCACCAAAGUUAAGCAAAGUUGACAUUGGUCAGUCCUAGAUGGGUAACCACUUGGGAAUACCAGGUGCU